Molecule: long non-coding RNA, 232 nt
Organism: Etheostoma cragini (Arkansas darter)
Lineage: Eukaryota; Metazoa; Chordata; Actinopteri; Perciformes; Percidae
Exons: 3
Source: RefSeq, a predicted model, not a curated record
UAUAAGAGAGUAUUACUAUACAGGUACCUGUCUAAUGUAUAUGAGAGUAUUACUAUACAGGUACCUGUCUAAUGUGUAUGAGAGUAUUACUUUACAGGUACCUGUCUAAUGUAUAUGAGAGUAUUACUAUACAGGUACCUGUCUAAUGUAUAUGAGAGUAUUACUGUACAGGUACCUGUCUAAUGUAUAUGAGAGUAUUACUGUACAGGUACCUGUCUAAUGUAUAUGAGAG